This 618-nucleotide ribosomal RNA is filed under the name uncultured bacterium. RNAcentral's name for it is "bacterial SSU rRNA". It matches the Rfam family "Bacterial small subunit ribosomal RNA", at positions 202 to 842 of the family's 1533-position model. The record is from RNAcentral.
CAAAGGUGAGCCAGUACAGGAUGGACCCGCGUCUGAUUAGCUAGUUGGUAAGGUAACGGCUUACCAAGGCGACGAUCAGUAGCCGACCUGAGAGGGUGAUCGGCCACAUUGGAACUGAGACACGGUCCAAACUCCUACGGGAGGCAGCAGUGGGGAAUAUUGCACAAUGGGCGAAAGCCUGAUGCAGCAACGCCGCGUGAGUGAUGAAGGCCUUCGGGUCGUAAAACUCUGUCCUCAAGGAAGAUAAUGACGGUACUUGAGGAGGAAGCCCCGGCUAACUACGUGCCAGCAGCCGCGGUAAUACGUAGGGGGCUAGCGUUAUCCGGAUCUACUGGGCGUAAAGGGUGCGUAGGCGGUCUUUCAAGUCAGGAGUGAAAGGCUACGGCUCAACCGUAGUAAGCUCUUGAAACUGGGAGACUUGAGUGCAGGAGAGGAGAGUGGAAUUCCUAGUGUAGCGGUGAAAUGCGUAGAUAUUAGGAGGAACACCAGUUGCGAAGGCGGCUCUCUGGACUGUAACUGACGCUGAGGCACGAAAGCGUGGGGAGCAAACAGGAUUAGAUACCCUGGUAGUCCACGCUGUAAACGAUGAGUACUAGGUGUCGGGGGUUACCCCCUUCG